Molecule: long non-coding RNA, 1616 nt
Filed under: Nicotiana tabacum (common tobacco)
Lineage: Eukaryota; Viridiplantae; Streptophyta; Magnoliopsida; Solanales; Solanaceae
Description: long non-coding RNA (NTAB_LNC017304)
Source: RNAcentral
AGCGUUUGCAAAGCUAUUGAAAAAUAGCCAUUAUUUUGCUGUAACACGGAAAGUUCCAGCAUAAUAUACUGGAGAUUGAUGCAUCUGUGUAUGAACUUCCAGCAUAUUAUGCUGGAACUCCAACACACGGAAAGUUCCAGCAUAAUAUACUAGAGAUUGGAGCACCUGUAUGAGCUUCCAGCAAAUUAUGUUGGACCAAUAUAUUAUACUGGAACUCCAGUAAAUUAUACUGGAAGUUCAAUAUAUUAUGCUGGAACUCCAGCAUAAUAUGCUGAAAGUAUAUACUUGAACUCCAGUAUAUUUUGGUGGAAUAUUUUCCGAAUUUUGAACAAUAUUUUCGUUCAGAUUUAUCUUUACAUGAAAAGUGGCUAAAUUUCGAUUACUUUUGAAACUGUGACUAUUUUUCAAUUACCACUUGUAAAUCUGGCUAUUUUUGAAUUUCUCCCUCUAUUGUACGUCUAGACAUGUUCCUAACGACCCAAAUAAAUAAGAACAUGGAUGAAAUUCACCAAGAAUAUCAUUAGGCCCAAUUGCCUUUUCAACUAGGGAAAAAUAAAAAAUAGCCUGAUUUAUAACUGCUAAUUGAAAAUUAGCCAUAAUUUCAAAAUUAAUUGAAAUUCAGCCACUUUUCAUGUGAAAAUAAAAUCUGAACAAAAUACCCUUAAAAUCCAGAAAAAUUCAAGCAUAAUAUGUUGGAGUUCAAAUUUUUUACAUAUGAGAUGCCAGCAUAAUAUGCUGAAAUUCACAAUGUGUUGCAGUUCCAACAUAAUAUGCUAGAAGUUCAUAACAAGAGUUCAAUAAUCCAACAUAUUAUGCUAGAACUUUUUGUGUUUCAGCUACAGUACUUUUGUCCAUAUUUUAUCUCCGCAUUAAAUAGUGACUACUUCUCAAUAACUUUGCAAACACGGUCUAAUUUUCAAUAAUCACCAUAAAAAUGGCUAUGCCAUGCCAUUUUGACUUUCAACUAACCUAAGUCUAAACUCGUUUGUGCACAUUUAAUAUCAAUUAAACCAACCCCAAACUCUUGUGUGCCUCUCGGCCCAAUUUAUUCCAUUCAGCUAAUGGUCCACCUGCUUUUUAAUUAGUGAUUUUACUUAAACGACACAUUAUCUACCCAAAUUGAACAAUUAUAAUCAAAAUAGUUACUAAAACCAAAUGCAUUCCAUCCAAUAGUCAAACAUUAAGGAACUUCAGAUUAUUCACAACACAUCACAUAUAAUCACCCCAUCUGAACGUCAAACAAAAUCAUACAAGCAGCAGGAACCUAUUAAAAUAAAAUAGAGAAUUUGAGAAAUGGACCUUUAAUAGAGAAUUCCCUAAAAAAUUAGACGAAACGGAGAGCCUCUGACCGGAGCUUCGAUAGGCAGCCCUCGUUAACUCGAUUUGCCCUUACGCUUAGAUCUGAGUAGUGAUGGAAAAGUCUGGUUCUCUCUCCGAUUGAAUGUGUUGCCGGUGAAGUGCAGAUUGUGUGUGUAAAGUGUUGGAAUGUGUGAAAUGUGAAUUGAAUUGUGGUCUGUGGAAGAAGCUUUUUGUGCGUGUGUGUGGUGGAGUGUAAUUGGUAAAUAUCAAUUGUACAGUGGACGUGGCGAGAAUGUGAGGUGUGUGCAAUGUGUAAC